This is a non-coding RNA of Podarcis lilfordi (Lilford's wall lizard), 15467 nucleotides long. The record is from the annotation of a GenBank genome assembly. NCBI's taxonomy places the organism in Eukaryota, Metazoa, Chordata, Lepidosauria, Squamata, Lacertidae.
ACUAUCUCCAUGCCAACAGCAAUGGCCAGUAAACUUCUGCAACCAAGUAACCGUCAGCCUGACUACCCAGUUGUUUCUAUCUAGACUACUGGAUGUUUAUUUUUUGCUCUCAUAAUCAAAGCCUGAAACAGAGCUGUGUAUAAUCUGAAAACCUGCUUCCACUGUUAAAGAAAACUAAUUGUCAGAGACUGGGCAGAGGAGGAACAUUGGAGACCGUCUCCCCAUCCUGACCCUUCCAAGGAGGAGGAAGAGGAAGGCAGUCUAGAUUUACAACAGGGGCUUGAGGAAGGUCACAGCCCAGAGGCAGAUGAGAGGAAAAGUUGGGAAAUAAUGGGAGAGCCAGAGCAACACCUGGCUUACACGUCAUUAGAUAGCAUCCCCGACCCACCAUCUCCCUGAACCUGGCAGGACUUAAAAGUAGGAAAGCAAAGAGCUCGAAGACAGAGCAGCACCUGUAGAGGAGAUGAUGAUGAUGACGAAUGAGGAAGAGGGAGAGAAGGGGGCGUGGAGAUUCACUCGGGACAACACCAUUAUCCAAAAGGCUGGCUUCUAUGGCCUCUCUCUGUAAAGACUGAAAUUAAAAAGGACGGUAAGAAACUUUUCCUUUUCUUUAUACUUUCCUGGGCAACCAGCUGGGAGCUGCUGACAGCAUCCUGACACCUGGUCUCUCUGCUGAAUCUGCUAGGAGUUCUGGUUGGGCUUUACUGCCCCUUCCAUGCCAUGCCCAUUCUUUUAUAGUUCUGUGCCACCCUACCCAACCUUGGCCAAGCCUUUCUUCAUCAUGUCCCAUAUGCUGCUUGUUAGCUCCCUAUCCUCUGCUUGUCAUACCCCAUUCAAGGCAGUGUGUAUGUUUUUAUGUCUGGUUCAGGUUCCCUUAACGGAACUCCUUCCAGGCUUGAUGCAGAAAGGAUCCAAAACCAUUGCUUCUAACUCCCUUUUGCAAUGCAGUUGGAAAUUACUUUCCUUCUUUAUCUGGGAACAGUGCAGAAAUGGGUACUCAUAGUUUAUUCCCCACUAUGGUGGCAGUGUGAACUUUACAGCUGAAAUUAGUGUGGGAGCAAUCAAUCUUUGUUUGAACAGAUAGUUCCAGAGUUCAUUGGUAGAAAACAUGUUUCACAUACAAACGGUCACAUGAUCAAUCACUGGCUUCUCUGUGUAGGGUUGCGUGAGAUUCCAGUUUGAAAUAAUCGGUGCAGAAGAACGAACGAAUGUUCUUUCAUAUGUGGUGGAGCUUUAAAAGGGUAAAAGAGUAUUGGGAAAUAAUUUAUAAUGAACUGAUUUUUUUUUAAAGCACUUUCCCCAAAAACCCAUAAUCCUUUCUGUUGGGGAUAAUUCAGAUGGAAAUUCCCAGGUGUCAAAAAAGGUUAUUUAGGUAUGCCACUACUGCGACCCAUGUUUUGUUAGUCCAAAAAUGGAAAACGAGCGCGGUCCCAGCCAAAGAAGAAUGGCAACUUAAACUGAUGGAAUAUGCAGUUUGCGGACCUAACUUAUAGAAUAAGAGAACAAUAAGAACAUACAUUUAAAGAAGAUUGGAAAACGUUUAUUGAAUAUAUGGGGGGAAGUGUGUACAUUUGAAAACGUUGGCAGCAUUAAGAUAAAUUCAACAGUGUAAAUAAGUUUUGAUGGAUGUAAUAAUGGAAUACUGAAUGGUUUAGUUUGUAUAAAAUAUGCAGGGAUUUAUGUUAUGCAAAAUGAAUCAUGCAAAGAGAAGAAGGGAAGCCAUUGAUAUUUUAAGAUUAUUUAAAUGAAUAUUUUAAAUUGCAAAACAGAAAAUUUAAUAAAAAAUAUGCAUAUAAAAAAUGAAAUCAUUGGGCAGUAUCCAGCUAACACGUCCCAUUAGUGCAAGUAUUUACACUUGCACAACAGACCUUGCUCACUUCCUUCCACUCAUGUGUAACCCACACCAUCUCCAAAUCUGCUCCAGGGGUUUGGAACAACUCCUAGAACAGAUUCCACAGAUGGGACAAGUUAGCAGGAUACUGCCCACUAGAGGGGCACUGCCAGUAUUGACAAUACUGAGCUAGCUGGGCCAAUUGUCUAAAGCAUCAUCCUAUGGCCUAAUGAAACUUGCAAAGAGGCCCUUAUAUGAACACACCAGAAUUGAGUUCAGCUCCUAUCUCAGGAUCACAAUUCCGGUUGAAAGGUUCCUAAUCUCCUACUUCAUAUAUUACUAGAUCACUAAACUAACAAAGUCGGAGAUAAUUGACUGGUAUCUAAUCUAAAAACCCAAAAGGUCAGGUCAGAAAAGCUUUUAUCCCUGUUGUCCUGAUGCACUCAAUUAGUCAUGUGACAGUGGGCUUGCAACUUGAACAGGAAUGGGGGGGGGGGGCUUGACAGCAUUCCAUUCAUUAGUAAUUAUUGCAUUCCCAUGUCUGAAAAGCAAUGUGCAUUUGACCCCCCCACACACACCUCACCUCAGAGAAAGAAAAGGGGAAAGGCUGAAAACAUUUCUAGCAUCGUGGAUUCGAAUUUCUUCAUUGCCACAUUACAUUCUGACAGCAUCUUCUUCAUAGAAACCUUUGGCCCUUUGAGAUCAAAAACUUUUAUCUCUUUAAAACGAUUCUCACUUGCUCAUUUGGUCAAGGUUACAAUCAAGCUUGGCAUAAAUGGGGACAAAAUGAGGAAAGAAAUCAGGAAAGUGUUGCACUUCUUCACAGCAUCUUUGAAGGAGGAUGCAGCGGGAGAGAUAAUUUUGCUUUAAGUGGGCUUAAUCAUAGUUAAAUAAUGCUGGACCACCCAAAUAUUUGUUAAAUUGAACAGAGACAUAAGAUGUAACAGAGGUAAUUUGUCAGGCUAAGGAAAUUCAGAUGUGAUUUAAUUUUCCUCACACACAAAUUCCACCCUCCUGCUUCCUUAGAAGAAUGCUAAGCACAUUAUUUAUCCUCCUGGCAUCCCUAUUAGCUGUAUUUCCAUGAGAGCAAAGUCAAUAAUAUGUCAAUAAUAUGCAAUAGUUUCUCAUUGCUUUGCACAGACGUGCAAGCACUAUGGUUCCUAGGCCCAAAUCAGACACUUACUGGAGCUGAGAAUUCUCUUCUGGUUGUGGAUGAGAGGGUGGAUAUACCAGCAAUGUAGUUAAAUACUUAAGAGGUAGUCUAAGUGGGGAGAAAUUCAAUCCAGGUAAGUGAGGGGUAGCAGAAGAAGGAUGGGCCACUCUAUCUUUUCUUUAUUCCCACUGUAAUGGAAGUGGGGCAAGUAAUAUUUUUACUCCCUCUCUUCCAUGACCAGGUGGGUCAGUCAUGUCAAACUCUAGGUAGGCCCCAACCAUACUCCUCUUAAGAUCCCAAUAGCCCUGGAUGAGAGUGCUUUCAGGCAUGUUCUUGUAGCUUGCUUUUUCCCAUCAAACCUCACUCAUAUACACUGUAAAAGUAAAGGUAAAGGACCCCUGACAGUUAAGUCCAGUCAUGAAUGACUCUGGGGUUGCGGCGCUCAUCUCGCUUUACUGUCUGAGGGAGCUGGCGUACAUGUGGCCAGCAUGAUUAAGCCGCUUCUGGUGAACCAGAGCAGCGCAUGGAAACGCCAUUUACCUUCCUGCCGGAGCAGUACCUAUUUAUCUACCUGCACUUUGAUGUGCUUUCUAACUGCUAGGUUGGCAGGAGCUGGAACCGAGCAAUGGGAGCUCACCCUGUCAUGGGGAUUCGAAUCGCCAACCUUCCGAUCGGCAAGCCCUAGGCUCAGUGGUUUAGACCACAGCACCACCUGUUGCCCACAUACACACUGUAGCAUUAACCAAAUGACUGGGCACAUGAGGGGUUGGAAUAAGCCUCAGUGUUUUGGCACCAGUGCACCCUAGUCUCCAACAACCAAUUUUUGUGACAUUUAUUAAGAAUUUAAUUACCCAAACUAUGUAGAAUUUUAUUCAUGUAUGCAACUACAGCAGCAAGAAUGUUACUUGCCCAAAAAUGAAAAUAAGUCUCAGCGAAAGAAGAAUGGAUACAAAAAAAUGGAAUAUGCAGAAAUCGUGGCACUUACCAGAUAAAGAAGAAAUCAAGAUAACGAGCUUUUAUAAAAGAAUGGAAAUGGUUUAUUGAAUAUUUACAAAUAAACUGUAAACAGAUAAGAACAUUGGCAGGAUUAUUGUAAUAACCUGCAGGGUUUGGGGUUUUUUUAUAAGAGUAUAUAUUUAAAGUAGAUGAAUAAAUGAGUAAAUUAAGUUAAUUUGGAAUAUGCAGAAAAUAUUAAAAAUAAAUUUAAGGCAUCACAGAAGGAGGGAGGAGGAAGUCGAGUUUUGAAAUGUUAAAAUGAUUGUAAAAUUACUGAAAUGCAUAAAACUGAAAAUCAUAAACAAAAUAAUAGUAAUAUUAAUAAAUUAACAAAGAAGAGGACAAAGUAAAGAAGCAGACUAUUGCUUCAAGGGAAAAAAAUAGAAGGAACCUUUUAGUCUAUCUAUGCUGUUAUAGCUGUUUAAAAGCAGGCUUUUCCUCACAUGCAAAGUGGCAACGUUCGCAGUCAGAUGAGAGCAGGAAUUGAGAAGGAUGAAAUGGCAAGCAUCCACUUUUAAGAGUUUAGAUCCUGAUGGGUCUUGAUUGACAGCUGACUGUGUCUUGCCAAUCACAAGUCAGUCAUGUCUGUCGGGAAGCGCUUUGACACCAUUUGGAAUUUGGAGGAGAUGGCUAUCGCAGUGUUCAUUGCCAGCAGAUUUCUCCAUCCUUCUGCCAGACCUCACCUAAAGGGUACUUGGUGUAUUAAAGGCGAGAGAUGUCUUCUCUGCUAAGGCUGAAGGGAAAGCAAGAAAUUAGGGCCCUUCUCUACACCCAGCACAGAAACCAAGCAGGUCCCCAUGGUAAGGAUUUACCUUCUUGUAUGUCUGGCAUGAAAAUUAAGCUGGCUGCAGAAGGGGGGGCCAUAGCUCUAAAUCUUUCUGCAGAUAGCCCUCUCCCAGCUUUUAUUAUUACUGUUGUUGCUGCUGCUGCUACUUCUGCUAUUGGUAUUAUUACAAGAUAGCCUGGCUAUUAUUACAAGAUAUCUUGGCUUAUUUACAUGUCUGGAAUAUACUCCUUUACCACAGUCAUAAAGUGCUGUGCACAUAUAUACAUACACACAGGACCGAAUUGGUUCCCCCCACUCCAGAUUCUAAAAGUUUUAUUCAGGCAGAGGGUCUUCUCGGCAGUGGCGCCUACCCUGUGGAAUGCCCCUCCCUCCACCCCCAUCAGAUGUCAAGGAAAUAAACAACUAUCUGCAGUGCUCCCCCCCCCUUAAAAAUGUUAUGGGGCACUCAUUUUGACUCACGAAAAUCACCAUUUUAUAGUUCAAAUCAGGAAAAAUAAAUACAGCAAACGGACAAAAGUACAAAGAUUCACAAAAUGUUUAGGGGUAUGUGUACCCCUGCAUACCCAAGGGGGAAAAAGCACUGACUAUCUGACUUUUAGAAGACAUCUGAAGGCAACCCUGUAUUAAGAAAUGUUUAAUGUUUUUAAAAAAAAUUUAUGUGCUGUAGGCUGCCCAGAGUGACUGGGGAAAUACAGCCAGAUGGGCGGGUUAUAAAUAUUCCUAUUCUUAUUCUUAUUAUUCUGUGCUUCGGUACUGACUGUGUGUCUACUCAGAGGUAAGUCCCAUUGAUUUCCAUAGAACUUAGUCCCACGUAAGUGGGAUUACAUUCGUACCUGCUUAGCUUCUCUAUAUAUAUCAUACAAAGAAAGGAGGGGAGAUAAUAGCUAGAAAAGGCAAACGUGAGCCACGCUUGCACACAUGACUCACAACUACAUAUUUUGUGUUGCAUUUUAAUGGAACAUGCAAUCAAGUUUGUACGAUAUUUGAAUACUUUUAUACAGUGGCGGAGCAAGCCGAUUGCGCGCCUGGGGUGGUGUGCAUGCGCUGUGCCUAGGGGCGGAGCCAGCCACCCACAGGGCAGGGCGAGCUGGGGCAGGACGCUCCGCGUGGCCUCUGAGGAGUCUGCCUGCCUCCUCCCACUCAGCCACCCUACAACUGAGGAGGAGGCGGUGGGCAGACCGUUUGGGGCAGUGUGGAGCCUGCGAGCGCCCAAGCCACCACGUCAUUCCCAGGAGACACAUGUGGCUCAGGCACACUGCAGGCCCUGCAGCGAGUGCCACCUGGCAUUUUGUCAUCCCCCUCAGUGAUGACACCCGAGGCAGCCUGCCCCCACCGCACCCCACCUUCCUCCGCCCCUGCUUUUAUAUCAGGCAUAGGCAAACUCCAGCCCUCUAGAUGUUUUGAGACUACAAUUCGCAUCAUCCCUGACCACUGGUCCCGUUAGCUAAGGAUGAUUGAAAUUGUAGUUCCAAAACAUCUGGAGGGCCGGAGAUUGCCUAUGCCUGUUUGAUAUAAUGCUGGAGUUUGAAAUACACUUUGGAUGCCUCUGUGUGUAAACACUUACAUGCCUGUUGAAUUCAUGUAGACAUCUAUAGCUUUUGUCUGCUUCUACUGAUUUCUCUUUUGUGGUCACCGUGACUUUUGUUCUGCAAGGCAACAAACUGACUUUGAACUUCUUUUGAAAGCCUGCAGCAUUCUGCAUCCAACCACCCUCCUUUGUAACGUUUGUUCAUUUUCCUUAAAAGCUUACAAAUGUGUUCGGCUUCACAUUGUUGAGAAUGCCUGCCCCCCAUGUACUACAACGGUGACAUGCUUUUUCAGCUGUUGUUUCCUUUGUCUAUUUAAUAUGAAACGUGUAAGAGGGAAAAUCUGAGCACAACAAUUGGAUGGGGUUUUACUCCUUCAUAGUAGUUUAUUAGAAUUUUGCCACUUAAAGAGGUACGGAAAAUGGAAUGAUUAGAUUUUAGCUCAAGAGUUCUCGUGAGUAAGAUGUACUCACUUAAAAAAAAAAUGGAGACAUGGACAAUGUUUGCUUAUUCUCUCUCUCUCUCUCUCCCCCCCCCCCCACAUCUCCCCUGGAAAUCUGUUGUGGAGGGAAGCAUUGUGGGAAGUGGGGUGGGGUCUGCAGGGGAAAGAGAAAAUGGUGGAGAAAUACCCCCCUUCCUCCACUGGAUUUUCUUUAAAUGUUUACAAAUAAAGAAAAUCCAGUGAAGGAAGGGGGGGGGGGAUGCUGGCAAAUAUCCCAAAUAAAUUACAAAAUAUAUUAUAAAAUAAAAAUAUAAUAUACAAUAGAAUGCUAAUAAAGAUCUGAAUAUAAGAAAUACAUUAUAAGAAGCCCAUCAUUUAAAGUAGCAAGACAACAAGAGGGACUAUCUAUUUUGGGAAGUAGUUUGUCCAACCAAGAUAAAUUGGGAGGUGGGGGUUAUUGUUUUUAUUGUUUUGCUAGUUACAUUACAUAUUUUUGUAUAUUUGUAUUGUAAACCAACCUGUGAUCCUCAGUUGAAGGGCAGUAUGCAAAUUUAAUUAAUAGUAUAAUACUAAUACUAAUACUACUAAUCCUAUAAUAAUAUCUCCAGUAUCCAGAUCUGUCUGGAUAAGCAGCUGAGAUUUUAGGAGAUGUUUCAACCGUCCAACGGAUGGAGCUUUCCAAAUUCCUUUUGGGAGGGUUUUCCAGAGGGCUUGUGCUACAACUGAAAAGGCACAUUCUAGAAAAGGAGUAGUCAAUAUGGUGCCUUCCAGAUGGACUACAACUCCCAUCAGGCUCGCCCAGCACAGUGAUAAUGUAGCAGGGUCUCAGUCAAGAAUGACAGACACGGGUUCUUUCCAAGGAAGGUUGCUUUAUUCAAGCUGCACAGCUGACUCCAGUGAGAUAUAAUCUCAAGACUGGGACCUGUUUUCUAGCUGGGGUUGUUAUUUAUAAUGAGCAGGAAACAGCUUCUUACAGGAAUACUCAAGCAAAAGGGGGAACUAUACUUGUGAUGUACUGAAGUUCUCACUCUGGGCCAGCAGGGGGAUAUUGUAGAUAGUAUUCACUCAGGUCCACAUAUGCAAAUAAGGGAUUGAAAGUGAUGUUCAGUGAUUGGAUAUUUACAGAAAUUGGUUACUGUUGUGUUCUAGUGCAGCUCUAUAUCAGCAGGCUGGCUGAACCAUUCAGUUCAGUUCUGUUCUGGCCUGUGAAUAAACAAGAGCUGUUUGAAGAAUCGCUGUGUCGUCUGAUAUGUUCACCCACAAUUUAACAAUACUGGAACACGAAAGCAGGAUCUGGCUGGAACAUGGAAGCAGAACUUGACUGGAAAUGUUGCAGAUUCUUCCCUUCCCACCGCAUGUCUUGGCUGCCCCAAAUUGUGAGCAUGUGCAGAUUUCUUGCCCAAACUGCAAAUGUGUGAGUCUAAAAACAGACACUAGUUAGAUCAUCCCUUGUGGCAGACACGUGUCAGACUUUCUGCUAAUCUCCAGGGUGGGGGCUGUUGAAGAUAGAUAGAUUCCAUUCGGAACCUGCCUCAAUAACAGGAGCCAUAGUCUACAACAGCUGGGGGGGCACAUUGUCUAUCAGAGCUUUGCAAACCAAACCAGUGUUUUCUGUUAUGUGACAAAAAAACAGGAAAAUGUUACUACUUCAUUAUCCCUGCUGGAGACCCAUCCCUUUCGAUCAGCUACAAGCACAUUUGCAUUCUCUCUCUCCAGUUCAAUUUUGUUUUAUUUUGCUGGCUUUCACUUCCCACUACUAGGGCCCUGAGCAAAAGGGAAAAAGGUGUUUAUUAUUAUUAGCCCACGCAAAUGCAUGGACUUGCAUUGCAUAAUGUUAUACAUUUCAUUAGGAAUCGGAGCCUUUCGUCCCACCGUUUCUAAUUUUAUUCAUGCUGUGAGUCUGAAUGGUGCUGAUUGCACAGGCGUACUGUAAUUUAGCCUCUAAAAGUGUCACAGCAAGCAAAAAAAAUUUGUGAUGUCAGCAUGCAUAUAUAUAUAUAUAUAAACCACCUCAGCCAACCUUUGUAAAAUAUUGAGUAUUUAUCUCACAAUCUCAUUCAGGUAGAUUUAGUUCCAAAAUCAAAAUGGGGAUUUCAUAAGAUGUGAAAUUAACAAUUCAAUAUUUGUGUGAGCGCUUUCUUUCUAUCAGUCCAGCACAGAUGAAACUACACAAUCUCAUCAUGGUCAUGUUAUGCUUGAAACCCGACUGCCCUGACCUCAGAAGUGCCAGGCAACUUUCAAGCAGCGGUAGGGUGACGCCACCCCCCUCUAUAUUUUAUUGGGUCUUGAAAGACCUACAAUGGCUCCCAGUACGUUUCAGAGCACAAUUCAAAGUGUUGGUGCCGACCUUUAAAGCCCUAAAUGGCCUCAGCCCAGUAUACCUGAAGGAGCGUCUCCACCCACAUCGUUCAGCCUGGAUACUGAGGUCUAGCUCUGAGGGCCUUCUGGCGGUUCCCUCCCUGAGAGAACUGAGGUUACAGGGAACCAGACAGAGGGCCUUCCCAGUAGUGGUACCCGCCCUGUGAAUCGCCCUCCCAUCAGAUAUCAAGGAAAUAAACAACUAUCUGACUUUUAGAAGACAUCUGAAGGCAUUCCUGUUUAGGGAAGUUUUUAAUGUGUAAUGUUUUAUUAUAUUUUUAUAUUAUGUUGGAAGCUGCCCAAAGUGGCUGGGGUAACCCAGUAAGGUGGGUGGGGUACAAAUAUUUUUUAAUUUAUAUUUAUAUUUAAUUUCAAGUUGGCACCAGUGCCCUUUGGACUGACAGAGGAAAAGAUAGGGAGAUCGACAACGGAUAGAGUUAGGGCCAAUGACAGACAGAGCCAACUAAUUCUACUUUUAUCACCAUCCUCCUCUUUGCUGAGCUCUACAAGGGCAACACUGAAACUAAAGAGGAGGAAUCCGAAAGGAAGUGUUAUCCCCCUGAAUGAUUGUCAGUAAGGAGGGAAGGUAACUGAGGGCUGACUAAGGUUGGCGGAGCAGUGCCCCAUUUGCCACAAUGGACCAGCCUCCACUGCUCAACACGCCUUGAACUUUGUGGGGAUCUCCUUCUGAAACAUAUACUGACCUUGUUUCAGCCAGCUUCAGUUCAGUUGGCUGAGCCCCAGCUGAGCUGGGAUGAACAAGUUACGCUGGCGUAUCACCUGAGGUGGCGUUGGGGUCUUAACUCUGGCUGAGCCAGGAAUCAGAUGACUAAGCUGGAGAUCUGCUGCAUCCCAAACUGCUCGUCCUGGAAGAUCUUGCCAUAGGGUUACCCUCAACAGCUCCAGUCUGGUAUAGGUAAUAGGUCCAAUCUUAGGGCCUCUCAGAGGGGCUUGGGAUCUAGCAGUUCCUAGACUUCUCUACCCCCAGAAGAACAGUGACUACCACUGUUGGAUACAGAGGUAACAGAAGAUCUAUAUUUGUGGCCACAGCAAGGAUCUUUACAAUAGAUGGCAAGUCUCCUCUUUACCUCAUCUUCAUCCAUUCCAUCUAGCUGAUCUGGGAGGUUAGGAUCACAAUGUAACGAACUAAAAAUAGUGGAUCUACUAUUUCUGAAGCAUGAAUGCACCCUGUCUUUUAAGAAGGAUUUGGUUCCCUUCCGCUUGCGCUCUAUCAGCCCAAGAGAGAAAAUAUAUCAGGGACGCUUCUUGCUGUAGAUGGAAGUCUAUGAUCAGAGAAGCACAUUUGUUACUGUGAGGGAAUGUGUGCCAAGCAAGCAAAACAAGAAGAAGCAGUCGUCUUUGGGUGGACAAUAAUGCUUCCAUUAAAUGCUCUAUUUCAUGUCUGAAAUUCUUUGAGGGAUAUUUGUAAUAGACUGCCACUGUGACAGCUCGUUGCGAUCAAAAUAAGUUGUCUUCAAAAGAAGCUUUAAAAGAGCCCCAAAUGUCUUGUCUUUAUAUUCCCAUUUGCUUUGCAAUCUGGGGAGAGAGACCUAACCUUCAUCUGUGCUGUUUGCUGCAGGAUGACAUAAGGCCGUUCAUGUUUCAAAGAAAAUCAGAGCUGUCUGAAAACAAAUUGAGGCCCAUUACCCUUCAUUAAUUGCAUGGCUGAGCAAGCCAUGCACCAUUUAAAGGAUCUUUAUCCAAAUGUGUGCACUAAGAGCUUGGUGUGUGAAGUGGAUUGAUCAGGGAAUUUUACAGUUGAUCAUUACCGUUGAAAUAGAUUUCCCUCCUCAGACUUCUCAUAGAAGAACUCAAGUAAAAUAAAAUAUGAGAAGAACUAUGACAAGAGGAGGCUAGGGAUAUACUAGUUUAUUUCUAGCCUGUGUCAAUUUGAAGUGUGUUCAUUCAUAAAUCCAUUCCAUCUUGUUUUUUGCAUCAGUUCGUGAAUAUAUGUGUGUGUGCAAUAUUUAAAUAUAUUUAAAUAUUUAAAGCAUUUUAAAAUAUAUUUUAUCACAAAAGACAUAUUUAAAUACAUAUUUUAUCAUAGUGUAUGCAUUUCUAAAGUAUUUUAUCCUAAAAUAUGUAUUUUUCUGCAUUUUUAUAUAUCUUUUGAACCAAGAUGAUUUUUGCACAUUUUGGAAAAGUGCACAAUCUGAAUAAGACCACCCCAUUGAAGUCUAUAAUAUUCCAUUGGAAUCCAUAUUAAUAAAAUUAUUCAAUCUUCCAUUGGAUAGGGUUGGAGCUGAAAUAUUUUGAAGACUCAUUUCUUUUGACAGUGGCUCAGAUUCAAAACCAUGCUCUAAGCACUGGUGAUUAAACUGUUUCAAUCUACAGGAUACGCCUGCUUUUGAGAUAGUUGUCUUUUAAAAAUUCACCCAUCACCAGGUAAGUCAAAUAAGCAGCCUACGUUCCAAAAAAAUAGUGAGCCCCCCCCCCCCGUCUGUGUGCAACAUAUGUUCUGACGUGUAAACUGUGCUUCAAAGAUAUUGCAGAACCUAGGGGAGAAGUGCCAUGAUCCAUGUAUGGACAACACUGUUAUGGUUGUGCACUAGGAAUCAAUCCAUCACUGACUGUAAUACACCUGACUAAUCAGGAAAACCCCAGGGAGUGAGACCAAUCAUCACUGUAUCCUCCCUCACAAUAUUUCCUUUCUUAUCAUACUUCUGAGUCAGCACAGCCGACUCUGUUCCAUUGAGAAAUUCCACUUUUUGCCUGUUAACAUCAAGUGUGGAUAGUCAAGCUUCAAUUGGUGAUACUUUCUCUUCCAGCAAGGAAUCCAGCUUGCAUGUGUUUCGGGUUUAAUUUUGCAUGUUCUCAGGCAGGAAGAGACUUUUGUUUCUCAAGUCAUGGAGAAUCACAGUGCUGUAGUUGCAGAGACUUGUAACUGCUGCGUCCCAUGACAUUUUGGCUGUGUUAGCAGCACCGGUGACCUCCCCAAGGUGCGAGCCUGGGCACUGUGUAUGGGGCUCCUGGGCUGCCCAGACAACAACCCACCCACCCCUCUUAAGCUCACUGAUGUGGUCCAAAGGAAGCAGAGCAAAACUUUUGGCACCAGUUUGGCUGCAGGAGGUGUCAGAAGGAAGUAUACAAGAUGCCAUCUAACCGUCUUAGGAACUCGACUCCAGAUUCAUGUAGGAUUCAUUCCUUAGCCAUUUCUUCUCCUUAGCCGUUUUUUCUCUGGGGGACUCUCAGGGUGCUGGUUCCAGGCCAGGGCCACUGGAGGGAAGGCGAGGGGAGGACAGAUGGUGCCCUGGGACAGACAGAGGUGUGUGGACAAUUGAGUGCCUUAUCUGCACUCUCAUGCAGCGGUGCAGAAGGAGGCUGGGGUGGCUCAGCACAGUCAUUUUUUUAGGGGGGAGAAGCUCCCCCAAUAUUUUUGGGGGAGGUGAAGGGGUCCGGGGUGUAAGGAAUAAUAAAAAUAGCCGCUUUAAGAAUAAUGGAACUGUCGCUUUUUCAGAAAUACAAUGCUGCAUCUUGCUGAAGCUACAACUGAUAGGUAACCACAAAUGACUCCAGGCUGGCUUAUACACAUAUUUAGAAUAGCCUGGGGCUAGAAUGCUCAUAAGUAGAACAGCUUAUGGUUGGAAUCUUGUUUAUUCAUAGACACCAGUAGACACAGGACCCGCUCACACCAGUGACUGGAACAACUGAAGGUCAGGAUGUGGGUCUGUCCUCUCGGCUUCAAAAGAUAUAGUAGUCGCUUAGGCUUGUAACUGGAACAAUUAGUGGUUAACACAUGAAACUAGAACAACUGGUUGUUGUUGUUGUUUAGUCAUGUCUGACUCUUCGUGACCCCAUGGACCAGAGCACGUCAGGCUCUGGUGGUUAGAAUAUGGCUAUACUGCUUACAUCAAUACACAAAUUCAUGAGAGCUUUGACCAAAUAAGGACAAUGGUAAACAUGGAGGGUAGAUGUCGGAAUUCAGAGUGAUGGGAGAUGUCAACAAGGGCGGAGAUUAUAGUAUUUUUAUUAGGCGGUCAUGAUAGGCUGUAGCCCCUGCAUGCCUCCUGACAAUGGGGACAGGGGAGGGAACCUGUGCUUGGAGAUAGGUAAUAUAAGCUUGUGCUUUGCCGAAUUGGGGUGUGCCUACUUUUGACACCCGUGCUUGCAAGGACAUAUCUGUAUUCAAUAAAUGUUUGCUGCUUCACCAAUUUUUUUCAGAUUUUAUUUUGAGGGUCCCAGGAGCCAGAGUCUUGGGACCUGCAUUUGCAGAUUUGGAAAGGGAAAUCAAAUACAGAAUAUGAGAAGCUGUCAUACAGACAUGCCCUAUGAAACCAUUCACACACACACAUUUUUUUCAGAUUGUUUCAUAGCAUCUUAUCACAUAUAGGCUGACAUUUGAAGUGAAUAGAAUCAGGAAUCAAUGCAUAUUCAGAACUGACCAUGUGUCUUGUAAACAUAAUCUUACCACAUGUAAAAGUAAUUUAAUUUACAAUUUCUGUGUGUUGGUUUCACAUAUGACAAAGAGUAUGAUCUCCUAGUUGCCCUUGUUUCUUUCAGAGGGCCUGCAAUAACCAUUGCAAUGGAAUAAUAAAAAAAGGAGUUAAAAAAAUUAACUCAAGGUGAAAAGUAGCUGAUAGUACUUCAGUAUAGAAAAGCAAUUUCUUGUAAGGCAAAGAGAUUAAAAACUUUUUUGUACUGUUCUCCCUGUGUAUAGACUUCUUUUCAAAUAUUACACAGGAUUUUACAUUCACUUACUAAAGGUAAUACAAGUGCUAUUAACUUUUUUUGUUCAUUUCUUAAAGAUGUGAAUAUAUAUAUAUAUAUAUAUAUAAAUUCUAUGUGUCUUAACUCUCCUUUUCAUCUUAGUUUCUUUGAUGUCUGUGCAUGAAUUAAAUGCAAAGCCCAGAUCUAUAAGGAAACUUCACUCAGCUUAAUGUUCUAUCUAUCUAUGAUGCCUUUACAUUAGUAAUCUGGAGAAGUAGACAACUUUGAAGAAUUUAAUUAUUUCCUGACACUAGGAUCCUGGGAACCUGUUGAGUACCCUCCAUGGUGAUUUGAUAAGCAUGUGCAUUCAUAUCCAGAUCUAGAGGAAGACUAGUCUAGCUGAACGUUCCACCUAAGGUGCUUGACUUCUGAUAGUCCUCUGUUUGGGGAAUGCCCUCCCUAGCCAGUCUCCCUCACUAUUAAUUUUUAGGAGAAGUUAUUAACUAUUUUUAGAAGGCUGUAUUAAACUGCUUUAGAAAUUUUAAUUGUAUUGGCACUGAUAUGUUUUCUGCCCUUGACUCCUUGACAGGGAAGAAGGAGGAGGAGUGGAUGGGACACAAGCCACAACCAAGGAAUGGUCAUGUCUGAUUCUCACAUGUUACUUGAAGUCCCUCAAGGGGCCUUGAAGAGAUGAGGAUCACAGUUCAACUCACUUCUGGAGGUGUCUAAAUCUCUGCAGGUCCCAAAUGGUGCUCCCCACAGAUUGUACACAUCAUCUGCCAUCUUAGGAGCCCAUUCCACUCAGGUUCUCCAGACUGGAGCUUUGUGGUCAAGAGGCAUGCUGAUGGAUUCAUUGGAAUAUGAAUAUGAUUUCCCAGACCACAGAAACCUUUCCCCCCUCUUUUUUGCAGUGGUUCUGUGAAUUCCACGUGGAAUCAAAUGACUGAAACUUCACUAAAAGUUACUGAUAUAAAAUAUGGUCCUUAGGCUUUUGUGUAAGAGCUAUAAUGCACGUUCAGGGGACCCACAUGGCAGUUUCUCCUGGGUUCUUUAUCAAUAUUGAACCAUAUUGAAAUCCUACACUGAAUGGGUAUAAAGUACUCUAGGCCACAGCUGCAAACCAGUCACAGCUGCAGAUCAUGAAACACUCCAAGGCUGUGAAGCUAAUGGACCAGUGUGUAGAUGAUAGCCUUUUAUCCCUCACUCUUCCUCAGAUAAGUUCAAAGAGGCCUACAAAUGAUGAUUAGACAGCCUCCUAGGCAGCUUACAGGGACAAAAUGAAGGAAAAAGGUAAGUCAGGAGAACCACAUAUGCUGUCUUGAACUCCUUGAAAUAAAGAAAUAUACGUUUGGACAAUUUUAGCAAAAUGUGGCCCUUCAGCAGUUGCUACACAACAGCUGUCAUCCUCAUUGACCAUUGACCAUGUUGGCUGGGUUAAUGGGAGUUGGAGUCCAACAACAUAUGGAGGGAUGUAGGUUCCCCUCCUUUGCUCCAUACAGCGGCAGACCUUGAUAAUAUAGCACUCUGAGUGAGGCCAGAAUUUGAUGCAUCUCCGCCCUCAUGUCACCUCCCUCAAGCCGGUUAAGUGAGGUGCUGGGCUCUGAGAAGGAGGCAUGAGGGCUCUGGCAAAGUCCUAGAUCUCUCCCGUCUCCUUUGUAAAGCUGGACAAGUGCCAGCUAGGCUUUAGGAAGGAGGUAGGAGGACUCUAGGGUCCCAUCAGAGUCCUC